GCUAACCAAGGGGAGUGGUCCGGGGUAAUACGGGGGGUGGGAGUGGUAAUCGGAAUUACGGGGGGUAAAGCGUGGGCAGGCGGUGAUGUAAGACAGAUGUGAAAUCCCCGGGCUCAACCUGGGAACUGCGUUUGUGACUGCAUCACUCGAGUACGGCAGAGGGAGGGGGAAUUCCGCGUGUAGCAGUGAAAUGCGUAGAGAUGCGGAGGAACACCGAUGGCGAAGGCAGCCUCCUGGGCCAGUACUGACGCUCAUGCACGAAAGCGUGGGGAGCAAACAGGAUUAGAUACCCCAGUAGUC
Molecule: ribosomal RNA, 300 nt
Filed under: uncultured Halobellus sp.
Lineage: Archaea; Methanobacteriati; Methanobacteriota; Halobacteria; Halobacteriales; Haloferacaceae
Description: bacterial SSU rRNA
Rfam family: Bacterial small subunit ribosomal RNA
Source: RNAcentral